Molecule: ribosomal RNA, 402 nt
Filed under: uncultured bacterium
Lineage: Bacteria
Description: bacterial SSU rRNA
Rfam family: Bacterial small subunit ribosomal RNA
Source: RNAcentral
UAGGGGAUCUUGGACAAUGGGCGAAAGCCUGAUCCGGCCAUGCCGCGUGAGUGAUGAAGGCCUUAGGGUUGUAAAGCUCUUUCGCCAGGGAAGAUAAUGACGGUACCUGGAUAAGAAGCCCCGGCUAACUUCGUGCCAGCAGCCGCGGUAAUACGAAGGGGGCUAGCGUUGUUCGGAAUUACUGGGCGUAAAGCGCACGUAGGCGGCUUUCCAAGUUGGAGGUGAAAUCCCCGGGCUUAACCCGGGAACUGCCUCCAAAACUGAAAGGCUAGAGUCCGAGAGAGGUGAGUGGAAUUUCCAGUGUAGAGGUGAAAUUCGUAGAUAUUGGAAAGAACACCAGUGGCGAAGGCGGCUCACUGGCUCGGUACUGACGCUGAGGUGCGACAGCGUGGGGAGCAAACA